GAUCAUGGCUCAGGAUGAACGCUAGCUACAGGCUUAACACAUGCAAGUCGAGGGGCAGCAUGAACUUAGCUUGCUAAGUUUGAUGGCGACCGGCGCACGGGUGAGUAACACGUAUCCAACCUUCCGUUUACUCAGGGAUAGCCUUUCGAAAGAAAGAUUAAUACCUGAUAGUAUGGUGAGAUUGCAUGAUAGCACCAUUAAAAGAUUUUAUUGGUAAAACGAUGGGGAUGCGUUCCAUUAGGUAGUAGGCGGGGGUAACGGCCCACCUAGCCGACGAUGGAUAGGGGGUUCUGAGAGGAAGGUCCCCCACAUUGGAACUGAGACACGGUCCAAACUCCUACGGGAGGCAGCAGUGAGGAAUAUUGGUCAAUGGGCGAGAGCCUGAACCAGCCAAGUAGCGUGAAGGAUGAAGGUCCUACGGAUUGUAAACUUCUUUUAUACGGGAAUAAAGUAUCCUACGUGUAGGAUUUUGUAUGUACCGUAUGAAUAAGCAUCGGCUAACUCCGUG
RNAcentral lists this ribosomal RNA (508 nucleotides) under uncultured bacterium. RNAcentral describes it as "bacterial SSU rRNA". It matches the Rfam family "Bacterial small subunit ribosomal RNA", at positions 15 to 507 of the family's 1533-position model. The record is from RNAcentral.